GCGCCGGUAGCUCAGCUGGAUAGAGUACUUGACUACGAAUCAAGGGGUCGGGGGUUCGAAUCCCUCCCGGCGCGCCA
RNAcentral lists this transfer RNA (77 nucleotides) under Arenicellales bacterium. RNAcentral describes it as "tRNA-Arg". It matches the Rfam family "tRNA". Rfam says of the family: Transfer RNA (tRNA) molecules are approximately 80 nucleotides in length. Their secondary structure includes four short double-helical elements and three loops (D, anti-codon, and T loops). Lineage: Bacteria; Pseudomonadati; Pseudomonadota; Gammaproteobacteria; Arenicellales. The record is from RNAcentral.